UACAGAGGGGGCAAGCGUUAUUCGGAAUUAUUGGGCGUAAAGGGCGCGUAGGCGGCCUGACAAGUGGAAGGUGAAAUCCCUCGGCUCAACUGAGGAACUGCCCUCCAAACUGUUUGGCUUGAGACCGGGAGAGGUGAGUGGAAUUCCCAGUGUAGCGGUGAAAUGCGCAGAUAUCAGGAGGAACACCGGCGGCGAAGGCGGCCCUCUGGAUCGUUGCUGACGCUGAGACGCGAAAGCGUGGGGAGCAAACAGG
This 253-nucleotide ribosomal RNA is filed under the name uncultured bacterium. RNAcentral's name for it is "partial 16S ribosomal RNA". It matches the Rfam family "Bacterial small subunit ribosomal RNA", at positions 524 to 776 of the family's 1533-position model. The record is from RNAcentral.